Molecule: long non-coding RNA, 1813 nt
Organism: Cyprinus carpio carpio
Lineage: Eukaryota; Metazoa; Chordata; Actinopteri; Cypriniformes; Cyprinidae
Source: Ensembl
UGCUCAUCAUUGACAUAUCAAAUUAUAGUAACUGUUCGCACUUAAAUGUCAGGCCACAUCAAAUCACUAAUGCUCACACGGUCGGUUCUGAUUGGAGGAAGCGCAUGCCGCUCAAUUCUGAUUGGCCAAUGGAAUCUUGGACCAAAAAGUUGAGCAGAGGUCAGAGUAAGAGGAGAUUUGUGGUCUGAUGUACCUGGCAAAAGCACAAGCAUCCCGCUGUGAGACGUCUGUGCACUCGCGUUCCCUCAGGUGACUCGCUCUCGUUUUAGAACAGACCGCAAUAAUUUAAUAACGUCACUGGAUUCGGUUAAAGAUAGCCUGUUUUUGGAAAUCUUGGAUAUUCUUGUGAUGAUUUAUGUAACAAAAACAAAAUGUUCAAGCACGUCAUAAAACUAUAAAUCACACAGAGCACAACAGCAGCUUUCUAGUUUCAAGAUUAAAAUAAAACGUAUAAAGAUAAAAUAACCUAUGCCUUUAUAAUCUAUUUCUGUACUAUAUAUAGCAAUAGCAACGCCCUGGCAACAGCAUGCUGCAGUAACAUACUAGCAACUGCAUAGCAACACCCUGGCAACAACCUGCUGCAGGAACUCCCUAGAAACUUUAUAUCAUCACCCUGACAACGACCUACCAAAGUAACUCCCUAGCAAGUGCAUAGCAACACACAGUGGCAAACACCUACUGUUGUAAAUCCCUAGCAAACUAUAUAGCAAUGUCCUAGCAACAACCUGCAGCAGUAACUCCCUAGCAACUGCUUAGCGACACCCUGUAAACAUCCCGCUGUAGUGACUCCCUAGCAACUGCAUCGCGACACCCUGUAAACGUCCCGCUGUAGUGACUCCCUAGCAACUGCAUAGCGACACCCUGUAAACGUCCCGCUGUAGUGACUCCCUAGCAACUGCAUAGCGACACCCUGUAAACGUCCCACUGUAGUAACUCCCUAGCAACUGCAUAGCGACACCCUGUAAACAUCCCGCUGUAGUAACUCCCUAGCAACUGCAUAGCGACACCCUGGCAACAUUCAAAUGAAGUAACUCCCUACCAACACUCUGGCAGUGACCCACUGUUGUAACUCCCUAGCAACUGCAUAGCAAUGCCCUGGCAACCGGCUACAGCAGUGACUCCCUAGCAACAUGCUAAAACCCACUCAAAACACUUUACCGACUGCAUAGCAACACCCUGGCAACCACUCAAAACACUGGCUGCUAUUUUCUGCAAAAAUGUGAAACUCUACAGUUUAAAUCAUCCAAAUGCUCUUGAGCAAAAAAAAGCAGAGCUCAAGUGAAUCAGCAUCAUGUCACCGCCGUUAAUAGACUCCAUCGAGCGCUAACAUGGUCAAGAUGGCACUGUUUUUUUCAGCUCGUCCUUUUUCCCUGAAUCCCGCCGGCUCCAUCGGACCCCCGGGCUUCCCUUACCUCCUCCUCCCUCCCAGGGCCGUGCGUGACAGUAGCUCGCUGAAAAGUGGAAAUGAUUCUAGUAAACAGUGAUUAGCUCCAGACCGGGAUCGGCUCGUCCGCCGUGAGACCUGCAUCCACACGCUGGCGGCUGCCAAGUCCUCAACCUUCCCGACCCUCCGGGGUCACGGCCAGCCUUUCACAGCCAGGUUAAAGAGAAUAAUGGCAGGCAAACACGACAGCCUCACGCAACACACACACUGCGAAGCUGGCUCUGAUUAGUGCGGACGCUGAUGUGAGAGACCAUAUGUGAAUCACGGGAUUCCAGAGGACUCUCCUGUACGGAAAAACGUGAUGGGAUUUUGGCAGCGCUGAGCUCUGAUAGUAACACUGCAAAACCGGGGCUACAAACCCAGAGCGGU